UACGAAGGGGGCUAGCGUUGUUCGGAAUUACUGGGCGUAAAGCGCACGUAGGCGGAUUUGUUAGUCAGGGGUGAAAGCCCUGGGCUCAACCUAGGAAGUGCACUCGAAACUGCGGAGCUUGAGUCUCGGAGAGGGUCGCGGAAUUCUCGGUGUAGAGGUGAAAUUCGUAGAUAUCGAGAGGAACACCGGUGGCGAAGGCGGCGACCUGGACGAUGACUGACGCUGAGACGCGAAAGCGUGGGGAGCAAACAGG
RNAcentral lists this ribosomal RNA (253 nucleotides) under uncultured bacterium. RNAcentral describes it as "partial 16S ribosomal RNA". It matches the Rfam family "Bacterial small subunit ribosomal RNA", at positions 524 to 776 of the family's 1533-position model. The record is from RNAcentral.